UGCCUACGGGGCGCAGCAGUGGGGAAUAUUGCACAAUGGGGGAAACCCUGAUGCAGCGACGCCGCGUGAAGGACGAAGUAUUUCGGUACGUAAACUUCUAUCAGCAGGGAAGAAAAUGACGGUACCCGACCAAGAAGCCCCGGCUAACUACGUGCCAGCAGCCGCGGUAAUACGUAGGGGGCAAGCGUUAUCCGGAUUUACUGGGUGUAAAGGGAGCGUAGACGGCCGUGCAAGUCUGAUGUGAAAACCCGGGGCUCAACCCCGGGACUGCAUUGGAUACUGUGCAGCUAGAGUGCGGGAGAGGU
RNAcentral lists this ribosomal RNA (305 nucleotides) under uncultured bacterium. Its description in RNAcentral is "bacterial SSU rRNA". It matches the Rfam family "Bacterial small subunit ribosomal RNA", at positions 335 to 658 of the family's 1533-position model. The record is from RNAcentral.